This 441-nucleotide ribosomal RNA is filed under the name uncultured bacterium. Its description in RNAcentral is "bacterial SSU rRNA". It matches the Rfam family "Bacterial small subunit ribosomal RNA", at positions 329 to 787 of the family's 1533-position model. The record is from RNAcentral.
UCCCAGACUCCUACGGGAGGCAGCAGUGGGGAAUAUUGCACAAUGGGGGAAACCCUGAUGCAGCAACGCCGCGUGAGUGAAGAAGUAUUUCGGUAUGUAAAGCUCUAUCAGCAGGGAAGAAGAUGACGGUACCUGAUUAAGAAGCCCCGGCUAACUACGUGCCAGCAGCCGCGGUAAUACGUAGGGGGCAAGCGUUAUCCGGAUUUACUGGGUGUAAAGGGAGCGCAGACGGCAGUGCAAGUCUGGAGUGAAAGCCCGGGGCCCAACCCCGGAACUGCUCUGGAAACUGGGCGGCUAGAGUACUGGAGGGGCAGGCGGAAUUCCUAGUGUAGCGGUGAAAUGCGUAGAUAUUAGGAGGAACACCAGUGGCGAAGGCGGCCUGCUGGACAGUAACUGACGUUGAGGCUCGAAAGCGUGGGGAGCAAACAGGAUUAGAUACCC